RNAcentral lists this unclassified non-coding RNA (253 nucleotides) under uncultured Alteromonadaceae bacterium. RNAcentral's name for it is "contains 16S-23S intergenic spacer region". It matches the Rfam family "Bacterial small subunit ribosomal RNA", at positions 524 to 776 of the family's 1533-position model. Lineage: Bacteria; Pseudomonadati; Pseudomonadota; Gammaproteobacteria; Alteromonadales; Alteromonadaceae. The record is from RNAcentral.
UACGGAGGGUGCGAGCGUUAAUCGGAAUUACUGGGCGUAAAGCGCACGCAGGCGGUUUGUUAAGCUAGAUGUGAAAGCCCCGGGCUUAACCUGGGACAGUCAUUUAGAACUGGCAAGCUAGAGUCUUGGAGAGGGGAGUGGAAUUCCAGGUGUAGCGGUGAAAUGCGUAGAUAUCUGGAGGAACAUCAGUGGCGAAGGCGGCUCCCUGGCCAAAGACUGACGCUCAUGUGCGAAAGUGUGGGUAGCGAACAGG